GCUUAUUUUUUGUAAGAGAUCUGGA
This 25-nucleotide non-coding RNA is filed under the name Cricetulus griseus (Chinese hamster). The record is from RNAcentral. Lineage: Eukaryota; Metazoa; Chordata; Mammalia; Rodentia; Cricetidae.